AACGAACGCUGGCGGCAUGCCUAACACAUGCAAGUCGAACGAGACCUUCGGGUCUAGUGGCGCACGGGUGCGUAACGCGUGGGAACCUGCACUUAGGUUCGGAAUAACUCCCCGAAAGGGGUGCUAAUACCGGAUAAUGUCUUCGGACCAAAGAUUUAUCGCCUUUGGAUGGGCCCGCGUUGGAUUAGCUAGUUGGUAGGGUAAAAGCCUACCAAGGCGACGAUCCAUAGCUGGUCUGUGAGGAUGAUCAGCCACACUUGGACUGAGACACGGCCCAGACUCCUACGGGAGGCAGCAGUGGGGAAUAUUGGAACAUGGGCGAAAUCCUGAUCCAGCAAUGCCGCGUGAGUGAUGAAGGCCUUAGGGUUGUAAAGCUCUUUUACCCGGGAUGAUAAUGACAGUACCGAGAGAAUAAGCUCCGGCUAACUCCGUG
Molecule: ribosomal RNA, 433 nt
Filed under: uncultured bacterium
Lineage: Bacteria
Description: partial 16S ribosomal RNA
Rfam family: Bacterial small subunit ribosomal RNA
Source: RNAcentral